Molecule: long non-coding RNA, 237 nt
Filed under: Linum usitatissimum (flax)
Lineage: Eukaryota; Viridiplantae; Streptophyta; Magnoliopsida; Malpighiales; Linaceae
Description: long non-coding RNA (LUSI_LNC005754)
Source: RNAcentral
ACCUUUAUGAGCUUGGGGCGUGGGCCGGAGACUGAUUACUUUCUUAGUCCGGCUAAGUUUGUCACUACCCCCAUUCGAAAAAAGUUGCUAACUCGAGAAAACCCAAAAAAGUGGAAUAGAAAGAAAAGAAAAAGAAGAUAAAAAGAAAGAAAAGCGAAAUUAAAGCAAGUUGUAUAUAGUAGUGUAUAGAAGUACUAGUCAAGUAAGCAAUCAAAAUAAGAAGGAAGUGUUAGCAUU